UAGACCGCCUGGGGAGUACGGCCGCAAGGUUAAAACUCAAAUGAAUUGACGGGGGCCCGCACAAGCGGUGGAGCAUGUGGUUUAAUUCGAUGCAACGCGAAGAACCUUACCUGGUCUUGACAUCCACGGAAGAAUUCAGAGAUGGAUUUGUGCCUUCGGGAACCGUGAGACAGGUGCUGCAUGGCUGUCGUCAGCUCGUGUUGUGAAAUGUUGGGUUAAGUCCCGCAACGAGCGCAACCCUUAUCCUUUGUUGCCAGCGGUCCGGCCGGGAACUCAAAGGAGACUGCCAGUGAUAAACUGGAGGAAGGUGGGGAUGACGUCAAGUCAUCAUGGCCCUUACGACCAGGGCUACACACGUGCUACAAUGGCGCAUACAAAGAGAAGCGACCUCGC
Molecule: ribosomal RNA, 393 nt
Filed under: Salmonella enterica subsp. enterica serovar Senftenberg
Lineage: Bacteria; Pseudomonadati; Pseudomonadota; Gammaproteobacteria; Enterobacterales; Enterobacteriaceae
Description: bacterial SSU rRNA
Rfam family: Bacterial small subunit ribosomal RNA
Source: RNAcentral